GAUGAACGCUAGCUACAGGCUUAACGCAUGCAAGUCGAGGGGCAGCAUGGUCUUAGCUUGCUAAGGCCGAUGGCGACCGGCGCACGGGUGAGUAACACGUAUCCAACCUGCCGUCUACUCUUGGACAGCCUUCUGAAAGGAAGAUUAAUACAAGAUGGCAUCAUGAGUCCACAUGUUCACAUGAUUAAAGGUAUUCCGGUAGACGAUGGGGAUGCGUUCCAUUAGAUAGUAGGCGGGGUAACGGCCCACCUAGUCUUCGAUGGAUAGGGGUUCUGAGAGGAAGGUCCCCCACAGUGGAACGGAGACACGGUCCAAACUCCUACGGGGGGCAGCAGUGAGGAAUAUUGGUCAAUGGGCGAUAGCUUGAACCAGCCAAGUAGCGUGAAGGAUGACUGCCCUAUGGGUUGUAAACUUCUUUUAUAAAGGAAUAAAGUCGGGUAUGCAUACCCGUUUGCAUGUACUUUAUGAAUAAGGAUCGGUUAACUCCGUGCCAGCCGCCGCGGUAA
RNAcentral lists this ribosomal RNA (506 nucleotides) under uncultured bacterium. RNAcentral describes it as "partial 16S ribosomal RNA". It matches the Rfam family "Bacterial small subunit ribosomal RNA", at positions 28 to 523 of the family's 1533-position model. The record is from RNAcentral.